Molecule: ribosomal RNA, 92 nt
Filed under: Fusicatenibacter saccharivorans
Lineage: Bacteria; Bacillati; Bacillota; Clostridia; Lachnospirales; Lachnospiraceae
Also listed under: 1 other name
Description: partial 23S ribosomal RNA
Rfam family: Bacterial large subunit ribosomal RNA
Source: RNAcentral
ACCCCUUGAAGACGACGAGGUAGAUAGGGCAGGGGUGGAAGUGCCGUAAGGCAUGGAGCUGACUGUUACUAAUCGGUCGAGGGCUUGACCUG